Molecule: long non-coding RNA, 428 nt
Organism: Xenopus tropicalis (tropical clawed frog)
Lineage: Eukaryota; Metazoa; Chordata; Amphibia; Anura; Pipidae
Exons: 2
Source: RefSeq, a predicted model, not a curated record
CUCCCUCUCUGAAGAGUUUAUAUCCAGAUCAAAUUUUAUGCACUCAGUCAAGAUGAAACCAGGAACAUUGCCAGGCUUUCAUCUGGAUAACUGGACACUGCUUUCUGAUGCUGUAAGAACUAACAUCUGAAAAUUGAAAAAAAAUGUACAUAAAUUGGCUUGUAUGCCUCUGCAGAGACUGUGUCCCUGAAAGUGAUAGUGUUUCACUUUGUUGGUCCUUUCAUCAUGUCACAGCUGAUGAGAGACUUUGUACAGCUGCUUGAAGAAUCCUGGGUUGCAGACAGAAUAAUUUGCAAACUCGGUUCCCUUAAUGUUCAGUGUGCAGCCUUACAGACAUGACGUGUGGGCUGCCAUUGUGUUAACCCAUAGAAUGCUGGAUGCACAAUACUGGGUAAAAGCUGGUUAAUUAUACCCCAAAGAUUUGUUUU